GGAGCUGGAGCUCGAACCAUUUGAAGUUGGGGCAGAUUUUUUUUACAAACUGUUAGAUGAAACUGCAUGGAUGAGCUCGAGGCACCUUGACAUGGCCAUGUUUCUAAUACGCAAAAGACAACUCUCUCAUCCGCAACUAUUUGGAAGGGAGUGGACAACCGCCGAGUUUUGUCUGCAGCAAUUUUUACAGCCGUUUGCAAUGCCAAGUGGGAAACGAGUCACGAGGAAACAAUAUGCUGCAAGGA
Prunus persica (peach) is the source of this 245-nucleotide long non-coding RNA. RefSeq lists it as uncharacterized. Lineage: Eukaryota; Viridiplantae; Streptophyta; Magnoliopsida; Rosales; Rosaceae. The transcript has 3 exons. The record is from RefSeq and is a predicted model, not a curated record.